CCUACGGGAGGCAGCAGUGGGGAAUAUUGCACAAUGGGCGCAAGCCUGAUGCAGCCAUGCCGCGUGUGUGAAGAAGGCCUUCGGGUUAUAAAGCACUUUCAGCGGGGAGGAAGGCGGUGAGGUUAAUAACCUCAUCGAUUGACGUUACCCGCAGAAGAAGCACCGGCUAACUCCGUGCCAGCAGCCGCGGUAAUACGGAGGGUGCAAGCGUUAAUCGGAAUUACUGGGCGUAAAGCGCACGCAGGCGGUCUGUCAAGUCGGAUGUGAAAUCCCCGGGCUCAACCUGGGAACUGCAUUCGAAACUGGCAGGCUAGAGUCUUGUAGAGGGGGGUAGAAUUCCAGGUGUAGCGGUGAAAUGCGUAGAGAUCUGGAGGAAUACCGGUGGCGAAGGCGGCCCCCUGGACAAAGACUGACGCUCAGGUGCGAAAGCGUGGGGAGCAAACAGGAUUAGAUACCCGUGUAGUC
This 465-nucleotide ribosomal RNA is filed under the name uncultured Klebsiella sp. RNAcentral describes it as "bacterial SSU rRNA". It matches the Rfam family "Bacterial small subunit ribosomal RNA", at positions 338 to 795 of the family's 1533-position model. The record is from RNAcentral. Lineage: Bacteria; Pseudomonadati; Pseudomonadota; Gammaproteobacteria; Enterobacterales; Enterobacteriaceae.